UACGGAGGGUGCAAGCAUUAAUCGGAUUUAUUGGGCGUAAAGGGCGCGUAGGCGGGUUUGUAAGUCAGAUGUGAAAUUCCGAAGCUCAACUUCGGAGCUGCAUUUGAAACUACAAGUCUAGAGGAGUGGCGGAGAAAAUGGAAUUCCACGUGUAGCGGUGAAAUGCGUAGAUAUGUGGAAGAACACCUGUGGCGAAAGCGGUUUUCUAGCUUAUUCCUGACGCUGAGGCGCGAGAGCAAGGGGAG
This 245-nucleotide ribosomal RNA is filed under the name uncultured bacterium. Its description in RNAcentral is "partial 16S ribosomal RNA". It matches the Rfam family "Bacterial small subunit ribosomal RNA", at positions 524 to 768 of the family's 1533-position model. The record is from RNAcentral.